Molecule: ribosomal RNA, 504 nt
Filed under: uncultured bacterium
Lineage: Bacteria
Description: bacterial SSU rRNA
Rfam family: Bacterial small subunit ribosomal RNA
Source: RNAcentral
AUUGAACGCUGGCGGCAGGCUUAACACAUGCAAGUCGAGCGGUAGCACAGGGGAGCUUGCUCCCUGGGUGACGAGCGGCGGACGGGUGAGUAAUGUCUGGGAAACUGCCUGAUGGAGGGGGAUAACUACUGGAAACGGUAGCUAAUACCGCAUAACGUCGCAAGACCAAAGAGGGGGACCUUCGGGCCUCUUGCCAUCAGAUGUGCCCAGAUGGGAUUAGCUAGUAGGUGGGGUAAUGGCUCACCUAGGCGACGAUCCCUAGCUGGUCUGAGAGGAUGACCAGCCACACUGGAACUGAGACACGGUCCAGACUCCUACGGGAGGCAGCAGUGGGGAAUAUUGCACAAUGGGCGCAAGCCUGAUGCAGCCAUGCCGCGUGUGUGAAGAAGGCCUUCGGGUUGUAAAGCACUUUCAGCGAGGAGGAAGGUGGUGAGCUUAAUACGCUCAUCAAUUGACGUUACUCGCAGAAGAAGCACCGGCUAACUCCGUGCCAGCAGCCGCGGU